GUGAACGAGCGACGCCGCGUGCGGGAUGAAGGCCUUCGGGUUGUAAACUGCUGUUGCGCGCAAGGAACACCCGAGAGUUAACAGCUCUCGGGAUGACUAUCGCGUGAGGAAGCACAGGCUAACUCCGUGCCAGCAGCCGCGGUAAUACGGAGUGUGCAAGCGUUACUCGGAAUCACUGGGCAUAAAGAGCACGUAGGCGGAAAAGCAUGUCCGGGGUGAAAUCCCCCAGCUCAACUGGGGAACUGCUUCGGAAACUGCCUUUCUUGAGGACGAGAGGGGAGAGUGGAACUUCUGGUGGAGCGGUGAAAUGCGUAGAUAUCAGAAGGAACACCGGUGGCGAAAGCGACUCUCUGGCUCGUAACUGACGCUGAGGUGCGAAAGCUUGGGUAGCAAACAGGAUUAGAUACCCUGGUAGUCCAAGCCGUAAACGAU
This 432-nucleotide ribosomal RNA is filed under the name uncultured anaerobic ammonium-oxidizing bacterium. Its description in RNAcentral is "bacterial SSU rRNA". It matches the Rfam family "Bacterial small subunit ribosomal RNA", at positions 383 to 810 of the family's 1533-position model. The record is from RNAcentral.